Molecule: transfer RNA, 66 nt
Filed under: pig gut metagenome
Rfam family: tRNA
About the family: Transfer RNA (tRNA) molecules are approximately 80 nucleotides in length.
Source: RNAcentral
UCCGUAGCUCAAUUGGUUAGAGCGCUAGCCUGUCACGCUAGAGGUUGACGGUUCAAUUCCGUUCGG